Nematostella vectensis (starlet sea anemone) is the source of this 684-nucleotide long non-coding RNA. RefSeq lists it as uncharacterized. Lineage: Eukaryota; Metazoa; Cnidaria; Anthozoa; Actiniaria; Edwardsiidae. The record is from RefSeq and is a predicted model, not a curated record. The transcript is spliced from 2 exons.
GGGAGAUGCAAGGAGAGAAUGCCCAAACAUGGAAUUCCUUGUUUUCUGAAUGGCCGAUGUGAGAGGGAAUACGAAGAAGCACAGGAAGAAAAACAUGUCUCUUUGCUUUGUUCCGUCGUAUAUUAUGAGAUAGAACCAGGCAAAAAAAUCUCAUGGACAACGACGGGUUUGACUGGAGUGAAGUGACAGAAUCGGCGAUAAAUAAGAGAAAAUUCCUGCUGUCAAAGAUGUUCAGGGAGCAGCCGAUUCCUCAGCAAGCAGAUGCCACAACUUGGAAUAAACCAUUUUACAAUCGUAGUUGAACUUUUUGACCGAGGAAAAAGCCGUUUCGGAGGAUAACUUUAUGUAAUCUAGAGUGAAUUAACAUACUGCAGGAUUUGACAGCAUAUACAAUAAACAUGUAAACAAAAGAGAACAAAAAAAACCUUUAGAACAGUCCUUUAGAAAGCCAGGCGAUAAAUACCAUAAUCAAAGUACAUUAACUUUAUUAUAGCCUAGAGCCCUAAAUAUGGAUACCCUAUAUCAGGUACUCUAGUUUAUGUAUAAGUUUUCUUUUUGUAUUAACCUUAUAAAUUUGUAUGAUGAGCGUUGUUGUAAUAAAAUAGUUUAACCAAACUGUUUACUUUCUUUGUAGAAUUACAAAAGUAGUAAAAUAUUUUCAUCGUUUGUCAGUUUAUGCACUAA